RNAcentral lists this transfer RNA (73 nucleotides) under Felis catus (domestic cat). The record is from Rfam by way of RNAcentral. Lineage: Eukaryota; Metazoa; Chordata; Mammalia; Carnivora; Felidae.
GCCUGACUGGCUCAGUUGGUGGAGCAUGUGACUUUUGAUCUCAGGGUGGUGAGUUCAAGGGCACUGUCAGGUG